CUGAAGUUUGAAAGGUUAAUCAAUGUCUGCUCACGUAUCGGAGGAGCAGAUGCACUCAACGCUGCCUCUCUGUGAUUAAACCGGCUCGCCGCUUCUGCCUUUCUUCACUUGAACAUGCAAUCUUCUUAGCAUCAGGAACCAGAACGGCCUCGGCACUUCACCCCUUUCAUUUACGCAUGUAUUUAGAAAACAACACCAGAAAGCCUUCCCCCUGCAUCGCUUCCAGGCCUGGACAAUCUGCACCUCCGUUACGGAGGGCUCUUCAGGCUGUCUGGCAGGGCGGAAAGCUCUUGCUUGCCUGGAGCCGGGCCUACGAUCAGGCUGCAACGUCCAGCUUACUACAACUCACCAGCACCUUCUCUCGCCAAGAGGUUUCGCAUCAAACCUGCGUUGGGACACAGUCUGCGUGAUGCAAUUUCCACCUGCCUGCGAGGGAGCAAUGCUGGCUAAAUCUAGUUAAACUCUGCGAGCAUGCAACCAAGCAGGCGUUUGGACGCAGGGACAGAAAGCGUGAAGGAUACCGAGUUAGCCCUUUCUGGCUGUCCGCACGUCUGCCGUUAUGUCUGGAAACCGAAUAUUUUAGCGCAUGUGAGCCUUUUAAGGAGGAGUUUUGGUUUAAGAAAACAUUAUUUGUGUGGAUUUGCUGGCCUGUUCUCUGAGUCCUUGUAGUUGGAGCUUCUCUUCACUGAAAACCCUGGGUGACACAGUCUAGUCCAUUUUCUUGUCAGCAACCCAAUUUUUAAAUGGAUUAUUUUUGCUACCUCAGCCAUUGUUAAAAUAUCUCCAAAAUUUUUGUGUUUUUCUGCCCUUGGGAGAGCAGCUCAUCAUUAUCAUUCAUGUUUGGGUGUUUGCUAAUUACUGCAGCUAAACUGCAAGUGUUGAAAAAAAAGUAAUUGCAGUUACGGACUUAAUGGAUUGGCAGUGAUGGUGGCAUUAGUAGUUCAAGUUGGGAGGAAGGACACAUUCUGUGAAAAUUCAAAAAUGAGAAAAGGCUUCUUUUUUUUUUUUUAAUUCAGCAUUUUAAUAUUCUUUUAAAAUCUGAAUAAAUAUUGACAUUCCAUUAAGUUGCUUGACUUCCUGACCAUUUUCAACAUUCACGGGCCAGAAGAGUCCUGGCCAAAACUGGGAGGGGUCGGUAACCCCUGUCCCAGCGCAGCUGUAUCUAGAACGAGCCACAUGGUGGGUCGUCUGUGGUGGCUUCCAGCUCAAGAU
Molecule: long non-coding RNA, 1212 nt
Organism: Anguilla rostrata (American eel)
Lineage: Eukaryota; Metazoa; Chordata; Actinopteri; Anguilliformes; Anguillidae
Exons: 3
Source: RefSeq, a predicted model, not a curated record